AUUCGUUAUAGUAGUUAAUUUGCUAGUCCACGGGAUGUUCCCGCCGAAAUUGGACUUCGUUAUUAUGAAUAUUAAUAAAUUAAUAUGAGGUGUGUUUUUAUCAACUUAACCACUUGGUUGUUUUUGCUUCAGAAAAGCAACUAGUUAUAAAUGUAAGGGCUUUUUUGGACAACUUCGGUGAAAAAGUGUUGAUUUCGUAAUUCAGUCAGCGUAACUUAUAUCCGAGAGGUCUUACAGGCGCCACAGACACCUAUCAGCCUUUUGUAAGGAGGAGCAGCUCGAGUGCGGUGCGGUCAGUAGCCCUUCAAAUUAGAAAAGUGAGGAUGAUCUUGUCAAUGCUGAGAUUUUCAUGCAUCAGCAGCCACUACAUCUGGAUCAGAUUGAACAAGAAACGGACAGCAAGGGUUGUCAGAUCAGAAACAGAAUGACACACAAACAAGAAACUUCACAGGCAGAUCAACAUGCAAUUUGAAGACGUGUGAUAAAAUACAGAGAGGUGAAGUAGUGUGUCUUUCCAGAUCCCCAAAUCAUUCCCCCUUAAAAGAUGAGCCUGAAGAGGAGAUUUGGGAAGAUGUUGUUUCAUAAGUCGCUUUGCCAGAUCACCUGUGGUAAGUCGGGAUGUCUGCUAACAAGAUGCCUUGCUGGUCUGAGCGAGUUUAAAGGCUUACACAGACAGUCCAGAAGUUCUGAAGUCCAUCUUCGAUUUCAUUGGACGCUUUAAGGUGUAGAAACAUCUCAGCAACCUCAAGAGAAAUUGGAGGCAACUGAGCUAAAUUGCAGAUGUUGUUGCAAAGGGUCUGAAUAUGUAUAAUAUGCUGUCAUCGUAUUAAGUACAGCAUGAGCCAGAAUAGAUGGGUGGUGGUGGCCAUAAGAAGACUGUCAACUAAACCAACAACAAAAUUCAUAUUUGCAGUUUUUCUUGAAUAAAGUUUUUCUAUUCAGAUUAAUAAAAUGACUUUUAAACAUGA
Paramisgurnus dabryanus is the source of this 968-nucleotide long non-coding RNA. RefSeq lists it as uncharacterized. The record is from RefSeq and is a predicted model, not a curated record. Lineage: Eukaryota; Metazoa; Chordata; Actinopteri; Cypriniformes; Cobitidae.